This 253-nucleotide ribosomal RNA is filed under the name uncultured bacterium. RNAcentral describes it as "partial 16S ribosomal RNA". It matches the Rfam family "Bacterial small subunit ribosomal RNA", at positions 524 to 776 of the family's 1533-position model. The record is from RNAcentral.
AACGUAGGGGGCCAGCGUUGCUCGGAAUUACUGGGCGUAAAGGGUCCGUAGGCGGUGUGGCAAGUCGGAAGUGAAAUCUCUGGGCUUAACCCAGAGGCUGCUUCCGAAACUGCUGUGCUAGAGUGUGAGAGAGGCGAGUGGAAUUGCGGGUGUAGCGGUGAAAUGCGUAGAUAUCCGCAGGAACAUCCGAGGCGAAAGCGGCUCGCUGGAUCACAACUGACGCUGAGGGACGAAAGCGUGGGGAGCAAACAGG